UUCCGGUUGAUCCUGCCAGAGGUCACUGCUAUCGGUGUUCGACUAAGCCAUGCGAGUCAAAUGUUCUUCGUGAACAUGGCGUACUGCUCAGUAACACGUGGAUAACCUGCCCUUAGGUCUGGCAUAACCCCGGGAAACUGGGGAUAAUUCCGGAUAGAUCAUCGAUGCUGGAAUGCGCUUUGAUCCAAAGCUAUUGUGCCUAAGGAUGGGUCUGCGGUCUAUCAGGUUGUAGUGGGUGUAAUGUACCUACUAGCCUACGACGGAUACGGGUUGUGGGAGCAAGAGCCCGGAGAUGGAUUCUGAGACAUGAAUCCAGGCCCUACGGGGCGCAGCAGGCGCGAAAACUUUACAAUGCGGGGAACCGCGAUAAGGGGACACCGAGUGCCAGCAUCCUAUGUUGGCUGUCCAUAUGUCUAAAUCACAUGUGUUAGCAAGGGCCGGGCAAGACCGGUGCCAGCCGCCGCGGUAACACCGGCGGCCCGAGUGGUGGCCACUAUUAUUGGGUCUAAAGGGUCCGUAGCCGGUUUGGUCAGUCUUCCGGGAAAUCUGACGGCUCAACCGUUAGGCUUUCGGGGGAUACUACCAGGCUUGGGACCGGGAGAGGUAAGAGGUACUACGGGGGUAGGAGUGAAAUCUUGUAAUCCCUGUGGGACCACCAGUGGCGAAGGCGUCUUACCAGAACGGGUCCGACGGUGAGGGACGAAAGCUGGGGGCACGAACCGGAUUAGAUACCCGGGUAGUCCCAGCUGUAAACUAUGCUCGCUAGGUGUCAGGGACGGUGCGACCGUUUCUGGUGCCGCAGGGAAGCCGUGAAGCGAGCCACCUGGGAAGUACGGUCGCAAGGCUGAAACUUAAAGGAAUUGGCGGGGGAGCACUACAACGGGUGGAGCCUGCGGUUUAAUUGGACUCAACGCCGGGA
Molecule: ribosomal RNA, 919 nt
Filed under: uncultured bacterium
Lineage: Bacteria
Description: bacterial SSU rRNA
Rfam family: Archaeal small subunit ribosomal RNA
Source: RNAcentral